UUCGGCAUCGUUGGCGUUUGCGCCGUGAAUCCCGCCAGGACCGAGAGGUAGCAACGGUAAGGCAGUGAGCGUGCAACGGUGCCACUUCG
Molecule: signal recognition particle RNA, 89 nt
Filed under: Deltaproteobacteria bacterium
Lineage: Bacteria; Pseudomonadati; Myxococcota; Myxococcia
Description: signal recognition particle sRNA small type
Rfam family: Bacterial small signal recognition particle RNA
About the family: The signal recognition particle (SRP) is a universally conserved ribonucleoprotein involved in the co-translational targeting of proteins to membranes. Archaeal SRP consists of a 7S RNA and homologues of the eukaryotic SRP19 and SRP54 proteins.
Source: RNAcentral